Long non-coding RNA from Suricata suricatta (meerkat), 931 nucleotides. RefSeq lists it as uncharacterized. The record is from RefSeq and is a predicted model, not a curated record. The transcript has 3 exons. NCBI's taxonomy places the organism in Eukaryota, Metazoa, Chordata, Mammalia, Carnivora, Herpestidae.
UAAAGUAACAAAGUUCAAACCCUGUGUGGGCAUGGCUGUGGCAGCAGGAGCUCAAGGGCAACUGGUUCCAGCACUUUCUCACUACGUUUGAAUUCUACUUGGGAUCCUUCCACAUUGAUACCCAUGGGGUUUGAAGAUGGAAGAAGGGACCACAAUGCAGACAGCCUCUAGAAACAGGAAAAAGGAAGGAAAUGGGUGCUCUCCUGGAACCCCCAGAGAGGAAUACAGCUCUGCUAACACUUUAGUUUUAGCCCACUGAAACCCACGUUGGACGUCUUACACACGUGUAUCGUCUUACAUGAUCUCCACAUGAAAAUCCACCAUGAGCCUACGUAUCCGUCAGAUUGCUGCUCUGAGAAACUGUGGAUCGAAACUGGAUGCACACACCUGAGCUGUAUUUCCUUGAUCUGCCGGAGGAGAACGGGAGGCAAUAGUAUCUCCGUGCCACCUGUGACCAGAGAUGUAGCGCAUGGGAGAUUCCAGGAUAGCAGGAUGUGGGGUAGAUUGUUCCCAAGGUUGCUUUAGAAGCACGAAAAAUUUUCUUUAGAAUCAGGGUGUCACAACAGCUUCCUGAAGACACCACACAUCCAAAAUUAGGAGUGGGAGCUAAGUCGAAGAAUCAUAUAAUCAGCGUCUGGCUUCCUGAAGCACCUUAAUGAAAUAAAAUGCCAAAAUUCACAGAUACAUUGACACUCCUGCUGAUAGCCUAAAAUAGCAUCAACUUCCGACUGAGCAAGCCAAUUGCCAGCUAUUGCAUUGAACUCUUUUGAAUGAUGACAUGCCAAUAAGGUGACCUUAUUUUCGAGAUGAGUUCCCUUUUCCUUGCUCUCUCUCAUUUCCACUUUGACAGCAAGACUGGACUUGGCCUUUUUCUAAGGCUACCUAGACUAGAAGAUGCCAGUGCGGAUGGAUUAAUAAAAAUUAAAAGUAA